GGUCCAGCCAGGAGGCACAGCACCCUGCAACCUCCAGGGGCCUUUGUGCACCACCAGAUGUUGAUGCCCUAGAAGCACGGUGCGGAGCACAUCCUGGGAUCAAGGUGCCACGGACUGGAAAAUGCUGCUGUGGCGGAGUUCCUGUGUGAAGACAAAACUCCCAGUCCCCCAGAAACUGUGGAGGCAGAAGAGCAGUGACAAGGCAUUGUGAUCAACUUAAAAAAGGAAUGCAGGAAGAAUAGCUUUGUUUGCAUUCUGGUAACUGCUGAGGCUUUGGCUGACGACAGCUUUCAGCUGCACCUGAACUAGGCUGGAUUUGUCUCCUGCUCUCCAUAGGCAGAGAAGUGCGUCCAGGCAGUUUGGAGAACUGCUGGCUCAGGCUUCACCUCCACUAAUCCAAGUUCAGUCACGUUCCUCAGAAGAACCUGCAUCAAGCCGUGGUUUUAAGCUGCAGAUGGAGUUCUUCUCGCAGGACUGAAGUGCUGGAGCUCUCUGAGCUCCGAAGGCACCCUGAACUCAUGUGAGUGUGACUGGCUGCUUUGCUUUUGGCAAGAGACCCUUUAGAGCCCCAGAGUGCGCUGUGCAGAGUCUCUAAGGAGAGGACUCCUGAGGCCGAAUUGAUUUGUAUCCCACGGGAGGCUUUUUCUUGGUUGGCAACGUGCUUAAAAAAGAAAGAAAUGCAAAUGGGCAUUUCCACGUGACUGUAUUCUGCUCAGUGCAGUGUCUGCCUGUGUUGCAGAAUGAGCUCCAUGGCACUGCAAAGAAUGCACCAAAGUAAGUAGUGCAGGAAAGCAUUUUUUCCAGUUAGAACGUUGGCCUUCCAAAGCAGGCCUGCCUUGGUUGCACUGGCUUGCAUCUCAGCUGGUGUUCUGUUGUCAGGGUUCCCGUAUUUCUAGCGGUUGGCAGGGAGGUGGCUCAUGCCAUCGUAAGGCCGUGGUGAUGUGACGGUAAGAAUGUCCCAUGUCAAGUAAAAGAUGGCUGUGUGGGACGAGGGGAAGCCAUGGCCUGACAGCUGCCCUUCUGGUCAGCAGUGGGAUUCUGCGGGGUCCAUUAGAAGGCCAUUUCUCUGUAAUGCUUUCACUGUUGGUUCCAUUCAAGAUGUGGCCGUUGUAUGAAGUAAGUUUGUGGUUGGUGUGAAGCUGGGAGGAAUGUUGACUGCCUUGGGGGUUGAGAGGCCUUGCAGCAAGAUGUGGAGAAAUGUGAGGGUGGUCCCCAUCUGCAUGAAGAAGAGCAAGCGCUGCGUUCUGCACCUGGGAUGCGGCAGCCCUGGCUAAUGUCUGUGUGUGGAUGAAUCGCAACAGGAUCCUGGGAACUUUUAAGAAAGGGAGGAAGGAGGACCUGGGGAACUACAGGCCGGUGAGCCUCACCUCUGUGCCUGGGAAGAUCAUGGAGCAGAUCCUCCUAGGAGCUAUGUUAAGGCACACAUGAGACAAAGAGA
Gallus gallus (chicken) is the source of this 1438-nucleotide long non-coding RNA. RefSeq lists it as uncharacterized. The record is from RefSeq and is a predicted model, not a curated record. Lineage: Eukaryota; Metazoa; Chordata; Aves; Galliformes; Phasianidae. The transcript has 5 exons.